CUGUGGGGACUCAUUUGAUACUGUCUUGAUGCAUAAUGAAGCUAAUGGUACUUAGCUCAUACUAAGUCAAUAGAGUAUGUCAAAAAUUGUAGUGAGUUUGUUGUGUUAUCCAUAAGGCUUGCUAUAGUGAUUGGUAUGAUGUUGACUUAGUGAUGCUUAUGGCAUGUUCUGAUAGUGCUGUCUUGUUGUGCUAUCCACAAAUAUAGUAUUAUUCAGAUAUGACCAUAUAGGAUUGAAGAGUAUGAUCUAACUGAAGUACUAUAGUUUAUUAUGCUAUCCACAAGACUAUAAGUAUUUUAGAGGUAA
This 306-nucleotide long non-coding RNA is filed under the name Elaeis guineensis (African oil palm). RNAcentral's name for it is "long non-coding RNA (EGUI_LNC052916)". Lineage: Eukaryota; Viridiplantae; Streptophyta; Magnoliopsida; Arecales; Arecaceae. The record is from RNAcentral.